UAAAGACAAUCAAGAAAUGCUAAUGAGACAUGUUUUGGGACAGGAGAAGAAACUGGAAUACCCUGAGAAAACCCCUGAUGCACAUACACAGGAUGGAGGCAGGAACCAAUCCCUCGUGUCUCGAGGUGUGAGGGGGAAGCUGCAUUCAUUAUCUGACAGUCGGUGAGGUUUCAGCUCGGGUGAACAUGAUCAAUACGCUUCCUGAGCGGAGUCACCUCAGAGCCAUAGCGUUUGAGGACCACAGAAACAACCUUAAGACACGUCAUAAGAAGAGACAGAUGUUCAGGAUUGAAAGAACAUUAUGGGAUGAAAACGAACUUAAAAUGGAGGAAUUUCGGAAGAAAAAUAUGCUUUUGUUUCUGUAUAGAUUAAAUAGAUUCAAGUCAUAUGUUAAUGGACUGGAACUGACUCUAAUCUAAUUGCUGUACAUUUUGAAGAUUUAGCUUACUGUAUUAAUGCUUUAAAAAAAAUCACAUGGGUUGUCAUGAAGUACACGCUAUCUGUUUUAAAAAUGGUCUUGUGUGUCAUGGUUAUGAUACAUUACCCACUGCACAUUUCCUUGUGACAUGUCUCACUAAUGCCUUCUUGUUUUUAGUUUCACCUUGAUAAGUUCAGGUUUCUCUGUAUUUCUUUGUCACUCUGUUGUGUUUUGUUUGUUGCUUUGCUUUCUGUAGCCUUGCUCAUAGUCUAUAUGUGUUGCUAUUUUGGUUUGUAGCCACUACACAUGAUAAAAGUCUACACUUGUAUCCAGAGAAUAUGUCUGAGAUGAAAUUGCCCCCCACAGCUCAUGGUUCAAGCCCCAGCACUGCCAAACUACCACUGUUGGGCCCUUGAGCAGGGCCCCUAACCCUCUCUGCUCCAGGGGUGCUGUAUUGUAUCAUGGCUGACCCUAAGCUCUGAGCUCAACCUCCAAAGUUGGUAUAUGUGAAGAAAGAAUUUUACUGUGCUGUAAUCAAUAUGUUACAAAAUAAUACUGUAGACCUGAAAUAGACCAAAUUUAUGAAUGUCUAUAGAUCCUAUAACUAAACAUCACCAACUCUAAAUAUCUUACAAGCUAAAAAUCAGUCAAUAGUUUGGUUCAUGUUAGACGUUAGACAGUCUAAAGGUUGAAUCUCAAUCAAAGGGACACAUCAAUACUUCAAAAACUGUGUUUCACAAAAAUGAAAAAAAAAAAAAAAAGAUUUUUCUUUUUCAUCUGGUUUUAAAGAAAUCAAUGUAAAUGAUAUGGGUUUAUGUUUUUGUUUUACCAAACAAAUAUGCUUAAUAUAUAAUUAUAAAGAUGAUAUCUUACCAAUUCCAGACUAAAUGAUCUCGAGUCAUGUGACCCAGAAACUUUGUUGAGUGAUCCUAAUGUUUUCAUUUUUGCCAGAAAAAGUAUCUUGGAGCAGACUCCGCUUACUAAAAUGUUAGCAUAAUUUGAUGGCAAGACCGAUCUUGUCCAAAAUGUAGUCAAGUCCCACUGGAAUGUGAGUUUUCUCCAUGCUGGGGAUGAUCUUGUAUUCAAGUCCAGCUCAUGAGGCAUCUGGAGUCAGGCUGAAUUUGCCUGGAUGUGGAGCCAGUGUAGGCCCAGUGAGACUCAUCAGAGUGCACUGCAUGUAGAGUGACAGGCCGUAUUCAGCUUUACAUGGACUUCUACAAGCCUGAUAUGGGUCAUUGGGUACCAGGGGAUCUGAAGCAGUAACUCUCUAUCCUGUGAUAAGCUCAUAGGCUGAUGUAGACUAACUGAAUGGUCAUUAGGGGACAUAAGGAGAAUCCUUAGAAAUCUUAGUUACUAGCAUAAUGUCUUAGUUGUUUGCUCAUGUUUCAAGUGUAAAUUAGGAUAAAUCUAUAAUAUUUCCUAACAGUCAGUGAAGCAGGAGUUACGGAUUUCUUAUUAUUUUAAGAUAUGCAUUAUAGGCUGUUGCUAUCUCUUUAUUGUCCAUAAUGUGUGAAUGGGUUUGGGAGUUAUUGUACUUAGGCCUUGUGCCCCGUGUCCCCUAGGAUAGACACCAGGCACCCUGUGACAAUGUGUAGUACAAGCAAUACAGAAAAUGAUGCAAUAUUUUAUAUUAUUUAUUUAUUUGUUUGUUUAUUUAUUUAUUUAUUUAUUUAUUUAUUUAUUUAUUAUGAGUAUAAUAAAAGAUCAUACAUACGAGCCCCCAAAACCAACAAGGCUUGUUAACUUGAUUUACUAUAAAAAUACUUUAUAAAGAAAAAAUGGUCUGAAGACCUUGAAUGCUUUGUAUGCUCAAAACUUUACCACCUCAUUCCAAGUCAAGUCAAGUCAAGUCACCUUUAUUGUCACAUCACCACAGCACAUGUGCCAUGGUGAGUGAAAUUCUUGGGAGCGAGCUCCAGAAAUUGCAGAACCUUACGCAAAUAUUGAUAAACAACCAACUUGAUGGCAAUCUGAGCAUGUAUUCGAGCGGCUGAAGGGUAAGGACUAUGCUCAAAGCUCAAAUCUGAAAAGUAACUUUCAAAUUUUUAACAUUUUACAGCAAAAUCUCAUAUCUUUUACUGAAAUAUACUGUAUAUCAUAUCAUGCUACAGCUAGGAACACUUCAUGUUUAUCAAGUCAGUUUAUAUUUUAGCAGCUAGCUAUUAGCGUUUGUAUAGAUUGUAUCAUCUAGUCUAGUCUCAUGCUAGCUAUUAUUUGAGGAAUGUUAGGAAUAAGCCUGAUGAUGGUAUGUUUAAUCUAAUUCUUUCUUUCCAAAAUUUUUUCCUGCCUUGGUAAUAAGUAAGACGUAAUAAGUAAGAGGAUGUAGAAGUUCUACUUUAAAGUGAAGAAUCUGAAGCUGAGUGAAGAAUCGGAAGCUGUUCUUCAAAUGUUCUUUUUCUUGAGUAAAGAAAGUAGGUACUUUUCCCCCCACGGUCAAGGAUCCAUAAGAUUCUAAGGAUACAGAAUCUUAACCACUACCUGGCUGCCUGUGUGAUAAAAAGUCAUGGCCAAAUAUCAAAACACAUGAACAACAUCGUAUCUGCAGUAAAUAAUUAAUUUUGACAUAGCUUUAAGAUGGAAUAAACUGUCAUGUCAGUCAUAUAAUAUGGAUUAUGCUUCAGUAUUCGGAGAGCAGUGUGUCCCAGAAUAGUUUAUCUGUGACAAAUGACAUUUCUUUGGGAAGAAGUUGAAAAGGUCAGAUGGUUUUGAUGGGGUUAGAAUCUCCCUUAGAUUCUAACUAAAAGUGCAAGAAGUGGAACAGAUGACAGAGACCUCAGAGGAUCUGGAGUACUUUAGAGGGAUCAGGUCAAAGUGAAGGUCUGGGCAUCAAUCAAUGCGUCACAUACAGUCAGAUACUGUCAGCACAUCACUGACAAGUCUUCUCACUCUCUUUUUUCUUUAGUCUCUGUUGUAUUGUGCUGUCAAAUGACUUGAUGUACAUUAACACAUGCUUUGAUUA
Long non-coding RNA from Tachysurus fulvidraco (yellow catfish), 3377 nucleotides. RefSeq lists it as uncharacterized. The transcript has 3 exons. The record is from RefSeq and is a predicted model, not a curated record. Lineage: Eukaryota; Metazoa; Chordata; Actinopteri; Siluriformes; Bagridae.